AUGUCGUCGCUGGACGUCCCCAGCCUCCGGCGAGCCGGUGCCGUCUGCAGGUCCUGGCGCGCGGCGCACAACGCCUUCUGCCUCCCCGCGCUGGAGCGAGCGCCGUGCCUAUUCUACGCCUGCGAGGAGUACGGGCCCAACGACGCCGCCCUCUACAGCCCCGCCACCGGCGCCACCUUCCGGAUCCCCUUCCCAGGCCCCCCGCACGAGAAGCGGGGCUUCACCUUCGCGUGCCAUGGCGGCUGGCUGUUCACCACCGAUGAGGUCGGCGACCCUUACCUCCUCAACCCCGUCACCGGCGCCCAGGCCACGCUCCCUCCGGUCAAAACUAUCUACCACAACGACGAAUUCUACGACGACGGUGGCAAGCAUGUCUGGCCUGCUGACCCCGAGAACGGGACCAUGAAACCCAGCAUUAGCUGGGCGCGACACACGGAGUAUCUUCGGGUUGCCAUCUCUACGACCACCGAUGUGACGGAAUGCACCGUCCUGAUCGUGCAUACGCCGGAGUGGAGACUCUCUUUCGCCAGGCCGGGAGACGACAGGUGGACACUAGUCUCCCAGGAUGAGAGCUUCGUUGCCAACGUUCUUUACAAUGACAAGGAUGGCUUGUUCUACAUUUUGUAUCUUCAUGGCUCUAUCGGUACUUUAAAUCUUUGUGAGCCUUCACCGUCAGUGUCCCUGAUCAUGCGCAGCGUGUUACGUUCGUCUGGAUAUCGUACCAUGUACCCUGUCCUCGGUCCAUCGGGUGAACUCCUGCAGGUCUGGAGGAACUGGAGUCGCACACAUACUCCACUCAAGUAUCGUGAUACUUACCAAGAUAUCGUGAACGAAAUGCUUCAAGGUUGUGUCGACCUUGCCCAGAAAGAUGACAACGACAAUAAGCAACGAGAUGAGCUAGAGACAGAAGAUGGCGACGAAGAAGGUGAACUAUGGGAAACCGAUGCCAAUGACCAAGAGAUUGAUGGGUCACAACUACUUCGUGAAGGCAUUGACCUGCCACAUCGGCUUGUUGACGAGGUCACCACGGACGAGAUCCUAGUCUUCAAGGUUGACGUCGACAGACAGAAGCUAGUGGAGCUAAGGGACAUUGGGGACCAUGCGCUCUUCGUCGGAUUCAACUCCGUCGUGUGCCUUCCGACCAAGGACUUCCCGGCUUUCGACCCAAACUGCAUCUAUCUCACGGAUGACUGUUUUGACUACAGCCCAAUGUUACGGAAAGAUCUUGGUAUCUGGAACAUCAAGAAUAGGAAUAUGCAAAAACUUAGCUAUGCUUGGCCAAACAUGUAUUCUUGGCUACAUUUACCGGCUCCAGUUUGGAUCACGCCAAAGUUUUAG
Molecule: ribosomal RNA, 1338 nt
Filed under: Triticum aestivum (bread wheat)
Lineage: Eukaryota; Viridiplantae; Streptophyta; Magnoliopsida; Poales; Poaceae
Description: partial small subunit ribosomal RNA
Source: RNAcentral